RNAcentral lists this long non-coding RNA (874 nucleotides) under Vulpes vulpes (red fox). RNAcentral's name for it is "lncRNA (ENSVVUG00000017395.1)". Lineage: Eukaryota; Metazoa; Chordata; Mammalia; Carnivora; Canidae. The record is from RNAcentral.
CAUCUCUCCCCUUCCCAUAUAUUUACCUACUCCAUAAUUUCUUUAAAUUUCUUUAAACAUUUACCAAAGGUCCUGAAGUAACAUCUAAACUACUUGUCUCCUUAACUUACAGGUAAAGAAAACAAAGACCCAGCUGGGAGAGACUAAAAUGGAUGCACCUACUUUCAAGCCCAAGCCUUCAGAGAGAUCAAGAAAAGAAGUGGCAACCCUGGGAAACAAAAAAGGAUUUGUCGCAUUAGAGGAAAUAAAAUUUAGCACAAUGUUAGAAUGUUCCUCUCGGCAUUUACAACUCAAGCACCUGCUAUUGGUCUCCACCAUUAGGAGACUGAUCAUCCUUGCAGGGCAAGUAGUCUGCUUUCCAUUCACCACUGCAAUCAGAGUAUGGAAAAGCCAAGUGUUUGGAUGUGGCCCUUUGGCUUAACUACCUUUUGCUCUUGAUCUAUAUGGCUGGAAUCCUAGUCAUACUUGUUCCCUUCCUAGUACAAUUCUGGCAAUUCUGCAAGGACCCAGCUGAGAUGGAAGAGAGAGGAAAGAAGGAGGAGGCAGAAGGAGAGGUGAUGACAUAAUGCUUUCCCAGCAAACUGACCUAUCUAGUGUCAAUCUUGGUAAUUUGUGCUUCUAUAUUUUCUCCUAUAUCUUUAGAACCCAUUCACAAUGUACCAGGGACUCUGGUCUUUCAUUCCUAGGAAUGAAGUGUUCUUUUGUUUGUUAUCUUUUUUUUCUUGUCUCUGUCCAUUCAAAUGUUAGAAUAAUCAUUACCUUUUAACAGCUGAAAUAUCUGUGCAGGUUUUUAAAAAAUAAGUAUUUUUCAUUUGACUGAACUGAUUUCAUCAGAGAAGGUUAAUGCGAUCAUUUUAAUUUGCAAAUUUUUUUC